UACGUAGGGUGCGAGCGUUGUCCGGAAUUAUUGGGCGUAAAGAGCUCGUAGGCGGUUUGUCGCGUCGGGAGUGAAAACUCGGGGCUUAACUCCGAGCCUGCUUCCGAUACGGGCAGACUAGAGGUAUGCAGGGGAGAACGGAAUUCCUGGUGUAGCGGUGAAAUGCGCAGAUAUCAGGAGGAACACCGGUGGCGAAGGCGGUUCUCUGGGCAUUACCUGACGCUGAGGAGCGAAAGUGUGGGGAGCGAACAGG
RNAcentral lists this ribosomal RNA (253 nucleotides) under uncultured bacterium. RNAcentral describes it as "partial 16S ribosomal RNA". It matches the Rfam family "Bacterial small subunit ribosomal RNA", at positions 524 to 776 of the family's 1533-position model. The record is from RNAcentral.